CCGGCCCGAGGAGGAGGAGGAUCCUAGGACCCAGGUAAAUCUUGUUCGAAACUGGCAAUGCCAUUAAUAUCCUUGGUGCAGUACCGGCGGAAGGAUACUUAAAAUACUGAGAUGAUAGACCAUUGAGUUAAUGAGAUUGGGCCUAAAUGGAUAAGAAAGGUAAGGAAAUACUUAAUACUUUUCUUACAUCUACUCAAGUUCCUAUUUUUGCUUGGCCUGCACAAUCUGUUCCUAGCCCUGCUGCUUGAUCCUUUUACAUUUGAUAUGGAAAUUUUAUUUGGAUGUUUAUAUUUUCCUUCCUUUUCCACAUUAACUACUCAUACAAUUAAAAAAUUAAUGACCCUCUAAAUCUUUCAUUUACCCUUCUCUAAUAUCCACAGCAAGAGAAAACAAAUGUUCUUUGCAUUUAACUUGCAUGAAUUGCACUUGUUGUGAGAGGGAAAAUAGAUUUGGAACAUCAAAGUAUCUUUCUGCAUAUUUUUUCUGGGAGCAUUUCUUUCCCCUCCUCCCACCAUUGACUCAUCUGACCUCUUUCCUUUCCAAGUCUGAGUUGAUGGCUAGAGUCGUAAGCACUUCAUAGGCUGCUUCAUAGUCCCUCUUGCUACAGCUUUAUAUCAGCGUAAUUUCUCCUAGACCAUGGAAUUAUAUUAAAGUGAACAGAGAAUUGGACUCAUGGUUCGUGAGACGAUGAGUUAACUAUCUGAAAGGUGGGUGAAGAUUGAACACUCUAGAAGAUGCACAAGACAGUAUUAAAUCGAAUUUGAAUUUAAAAAGACAUUGAUGUUAGCUUUGUAGCCUUCCUGGAAGACAUGGGUUUGAAUAAAGAGACUGUUAAGGAGAUUUUAAUGUGGGGAGGAAGGAAAAGUAGAGUGGGAAAAAUAAACUAACUGGAGAGGCAAGGUUGGCCUCUGGCACGAAGCAAAGGAUGAGAGAAGAUACAGGAGCAGAGACCAAAGUUGUACAGAACCCUGAUGUGAGAACAACAAUAAUCUCUGGGAGCCCAGAAAGGAGAGGGAGCUAGUAUCACAAGUGCAGGCCUAACAAGACUGCAUAAUCACAGCACAAAAGCUAUAACUAGAAACUUUUUAAAGGUAUACAAGGGGGCUGUGCCCCCACUCGCCAACCCCACUCUCGCUGGCUCCUUCACGGGCAGAGAGUCUGUUAAUCUUGCACUGAGCCCACCCGUGCUCUCCACAGCCCCAAGUCACUCGUACUCUUCUCCCCUCCCUCCCCAUCACACCUCUGGAUGGGCCUCUGUAUCUAAAACCACUUGGCUAAUCCCGCCCGCUCGCUCACUUUAUUUGCCAGCCAGCCCACCUUCCGCACUCUUUCUGCUCCUGCCCCACCUACCAAUAAAAUAGUUCGCUCUUGUACAGAGUUUGGAGCCGUUCCUGGCAGCGAGCACGGGGAAGGGCUGUGCUCUGCGGGUUUGUGAGCCUCAUGUGUAACCAAAAACAAACACUAUUAGUCAAAUGGGGCCCGACUCCAAACGAAUCCCCUUCAUUCCUGGUGCUCCUGGCUCACUAGCAAGGGGCAGGAGCUGGGUUACAUGUGAGCAGUGAGAAAGGGAGAGAAUUCCCCACUUUAUGCUCCUGGCUACUGCCCAUCUUUGUAGGGCAGCAGCACUCCUGAUGUGCCCUUCCAGCUGGCAAGCAAGCUCCUGCUGCAGGGCUGGGAAACGCUCUGAGCAGAGAGGGCACAAUGGAACCACGGGGGGACUACCGAGUUUUACAUGCACUACUGAGAACCAGAUUUUGGUCAUGCGGGAAGAGAGCCCGAUGGUGUAAUCUGGGUUGCUAGUACUUAUCCCGAGCUCCAUGGCCCACAGCCUACCUCCCUCAUUCCAUUCCUGCCCCCACCUCCAUUCCUACAUCCCUAGCCCCCAUCUUCAUUCCUACAUUCACCCGUCCUUCCUAACCCCUGCCACUACCCAUCCAUAUUCCCACUUCCUUCCUCCAUUCCUACACCCCCAUCCUUCUGUAAUGCCUCCUCAUCUGCACCCCCACACUGUCCAUCUCCCUGCCUCUAUUCCUAUAUCCCCUCACUCCCACUAUCCCCCCUUACUGCACCACCCAUCUCCAUGGCUUUGCUCCAUGCUGAGCCUGGGGGAGCCCAGAGCACAGAGCAGCUGCUCUGGAAAGCUGGGGAAGUGGCCAGGGUGCAGUGUAACUGCAUUGUCCCUAAAAGGCCAGGUGUGAGGUGUGGGCAAGACAUACCCAGGAGAGCCCACCUGAAUCACAGGCUUGGCCCUGAUGCUUCAGUUGAUGAACUCCUUCCCUACAAGGCUGGGGUGCAGCACUGCAAACAGGGCCCCUCUGAGAGCCAGAGAGGAGAAGCAGGGAGCUGGCUCCCCAGCAGGAAGUGGGCUUUGUGAACACAAGGGAAGACAAGGAGCCCUCAGAGGACAAGGCAUUCCGGAGGGAGUCUAAGGGUCCGCAAAGCUCAGUGAGGGCAAACCCCCAAAGGGCUGCACCUCCACGGCAUUCAUCAGAGCCUGGGUGUCUUCGGAGAGUAGAUGUCAGUGCAGGGGCCCUGCCCAGCCUCUAGGUGUCACUCGGAGAGCCCCCAUGUCAUCCACAGAGCCCCAGCCUCAGCCCUUCACCACAGGGUGGGCCCCACGUAGGUCUCCUGCAGGACCUGCUCAUGCACAGGCAGGCUUUCCGCCAUCUUGGGUGGGAGGGAACCAGGCAGCAGCACCCCC
Molecule: non-coding RNA, 2701 nt
Organism: Pelodiscus sinensis (Chinese soft-shelled turtle)
Lineage: Eukaryota; Metazoa; Chordata; Testudines; Trionychidae
Source: RefSeq, a predicted model, not a curated record